GAUGAACGCUGGCGGCGUGCUUAACACAUGCAAGUCGAACGGAAAGGCCCAAGCUUGCUUGGGUACUCGAGUGGCGAACGGGUGAGUAACACGUGGGUGAUCUGCCCUGCACUUCGGGAUAAGCCUGGGAAACUGGGUCUAAUACCGGAUAGGACCACUUCUUGGAUGUUGUGGUGGAAAGUUUUUCGGUGUGGGAUGAGCUCGCGGCCUAUCAGCUUGUUGGUGGGGUAAUGGCCUACCAAGGCGUCGACGGGUAGCCGGCCUGAGAGGGUGUACGGCCACAUUGGGACUGAGAUACGGCCCAGACUCCUACGGGAGGCAGCAGUGGGGAAUAUUGCACAAUGGGCGCAAGCCUGAUGCAGCGACGCCGCGUGGGGGAUGACGGCCUUCGGGUUGUAAACUCCUUGCGCUAGGGACGAAGCUUAUUUUGUGACGGUACCUGGAGAAGAAGCACCGGCUAACUACGUG
This 468-nucleotide ribosomal RNA is filed under the name uncultured bacterium. Its description in RNAcentral is "partial 16S ribosomal RNA". It matches the Rfam family "Bacterial small subunit ribosomal RNA", at positions 28 to 507 of the family's 1533-position model. The record is from RNAcentral.